GAGUUUGAUCCUGGCUCAGAUUGAACGCUGGCGGCAGGCCUAACACAUGCAAGUCGAACGGUAACAGAAAGCAGCUUGCUGCUUUGCUGACGAGUGGCGGACGGGUGAGUAAUGUCUGGGAAACUGCCUGAUGGAGGGGGAUAACUACUGGAAACGGUAGCUAAUACCGCAUAACGUCGCAAGACCAAAGAGGGGGACCUUCGGGCCUCUUGCCAUCGGAUGUGCCCAGAUGGGAUUAGCUUGUUGGUGGGGUAACGGCUCACCAAGGCGACGAUCUCUAGCUGGUCUGAGAGGAUGACCAGCCACACUGGAACUGAGACACGGUCCAGACUCCUACGGGAGGCAGCAGUGGGGAAUAUUGCACAAUGGGCGCAAGCCUGAUGCAGCCAUGCCGCGUGUAUGAAGAAGGCCUUCGGGUUGUAAAGUACUUUCAGCGGGGAGGAAGGGAGUAAAGUUAAUACCUUUGCUCAUUGACGUUACCCGCAGAAGAAGCACCGGCUAACUCCGUGCCAGCAGCCGCGGUAAUAC
RNAcentral lists this ribosomal RNA (528 nucleotides) under uncultured bacterium. RNAcentral's name for it is "bacterial SSU rRNA". It matches the Rfam family "Bacterial small subunit ribosomal RNA", at positions 9 to 526 of the family's 1533-position model. The record is from RNAcentral.